ACUCACACUUCCAGAUGGGCCCCAUCCACCUCGAUGAAACAAAAGUAUGUUCUGUCUGCCAGGUAGGUCCCGCCGGAACGGAUCCCCUGCUUCUUCUACCGAAAUCGUUGCUUCCGACGCACCAGGGCCGCGCGCCGCCGGCGACCUUGCCGUGGCCCUUCUACAAAACCGACCCGCGCCGGAGCUCCGCCGUCGGAUGUGGCGGAGACGGCGUCAAUGGCGUCCUCCUCUGCUGCCGAGUCCAGCUCCCGCCUCUCUGAUCGAGCGAGGAGGUCGGCGCUGGGACUCAGAUUCAUGGUGCUCCUGAUGCACGUGCUGUUCGUUGGCGCUGUCUUCAUCCUCGAUCCGACCCUCGACUGGCGAAUCCACGGGGAGCCGUGGUAUAUAGGGUUGUAUGGAGUGCUUGUUCUGCUCACGCUAGUGCAAUACUUCUAUACAGCUGGCUCAUGUCCAGGGUAUGUUAUUGAUGUAAUGAGAGCUGGUUCCAUGAUGCAUGCAACCUUCGUCAACACUGCUGCUCUUUCAAAUCAAAUUCAAGAAAUGGAAACAUAAAUUCUCCGACGAGUCGUGCUCAACUACAGAAACUUAGCACGAUGACUCCUACAUCUUCAUGGGCACAGAUGGUUAUGGAUCUUUAUCCUCCAGGGUCAAGCAGCAGGGAUUGGACUUGCACUUACUGCAGGAUUGUUCAGGUAUUCUUGUAUCCUCACGCGCUAAAUGUUCUCUAAGUUUUACAAGUAAGUAGGAAUUAAUAUAGUUUUGUUAUACAAAAAUUGAGUUGGUUGCAUGAGUUAUUAACUUUGAGUUAUGCACCACCAAUUUGUUUGACUAAAAUUUAAGAAUAAUAUACAUUCAAUACAUCCUUCAAAAUUUACCAAGUCUGUUAAAAAAACUAUGUAAAAGUCUGAAAUGAAUUUGUGGUAUGUUUGAUUAUAUUUGUCAGUGUAGUUAAAGUUACUAGAAGAUUUGCUCUUCACAUCCUUGAUUGGCUAGUGGUUUAUUUACCAGUUUGUGACAUUCAAAGAUUCGUUUCUGAUCAUGAAGGUUAUUUGUGCAUUAAGAAUCUUCUAAAACUUAAUACAUUGAUUGGUUGAUGAGUAACUGAUUCGCAAUGCAGCGGGCACAGGACCUCUCUCUUAGAAAAGUAAACUUAUGCUAUCUUAUUUGCUCAGAAUUGUUCCUCCAAAAUCUCAUGGUUUCAUGCUAAUUUCAUCUAUUAUGUCUUUAGAAAGUUUCCCAUACCUUGUUGCUUCUGAUAGUCAGAGUUAAAGUUUUGCUACCAACAUCUUUUUGCAGCCACCUCGCACCCGACACUGCCAUGACUGUGAUAAAUGUGUCCUUCAAUUUGAUCAUCACUGUAUAUGGCUUGGAACAUGCAUUGGCAAAAGGAACCAUUGUCGUUUUUUGUGAGCUUUUAAUGUGUUUUCACCUAUAUGUUCCAUUCACUUGCACGUCAGUUGUGGUGUGAUGUGUUAUAAACUCACUGUUUGCGUACACAGCCGUUUAACCCACGUACACAGCGGUUAUUUGUGUAAAUGCUACAGUGGCUUAUUGUGUCCAUUUAAUCAGCCAUUUAUACCGUUUAGCCCAAUUAAAUAGCCAAAAAGGUUGUGACUGUUUAGUCAUUUAAAUGUUUAGGCUAACACUGUAUAAACUACCAUACUUGUUGCGGAAACACUAUAGUUAUUUCUUUGAUUCGGACACUGAUAAACUUUCUUUGGAGUAUCUAUAGAUGUUUUCCAGAGUUGUAGUUUUGUGACUGAAAGUACAUAUUGAUCAGACCAAUGUUAUCGAGUAUUUACAUUGUGCACCAUUAAACAGAUAGAACAUAAAUGCCACUGAGUAUUUCAGAACCAACACCCCUCCUCUUGUAAUAUAAUGAUUUACCUUAUUUAUUGACAUAACAUAACUACUGCUUCUACUACUUUAUUGUGAAUUGUGAUUACACAUUGAGACUUCCAUGUUGUCUCUCGCCAUGCUGUACGAUUGCAGUAUGAUACUAUUGUUUUAAUCUCUUGGUUCUUAUGGUUGUAUAACCGCCUUUACUAGGUGGUACAUAUUUGAAGAAACAAUCUUGUGUAUCUGGACUGCUGCUCUCUGCAUCGAGUCAUUGUGUUUAGAUGUGGACAAGGCCUGGUGGAAGGACUUUGUUGGUGUUAUCCUGUUGGCAGCGCUUAUCCUUAUCCUGAUAUUCCUACUACUAUUGUGGUUAUUUCAUUCGUACAUUGCUCUAACAAAUCAAACAACCUACGAAAUUGCCAGAAGGAAGCGAAUAUUCUACCUAAGGGGAGUCCCUGAAAGAGUUCUUCCAUUCAGCAAAGGCAUAUGCAGAAAUCUCUACGAUUUCUGCUGUUCUAGCCAGAAGGGAUAUAUUCUGGAAGCUGUGCCCCCAAGUGAAGAGCUGGAAGCUAGAGCUGCCCGUUACACGUGCCGAGAUGUCAUUUGCUGUCGUUGCUGCUGAUAGGUUGUACCAUAGCAUUCUGCCCGUAUAGCCCAGUUGCGCUGUUCUCUGUUCAAGGUUAAGUUAAUGGAAGCAAAUUUUAGUGACCUGCGACCGUUAGAUGCCCCCAGAGUUCAUUAUUUGUGCAUAGUCAUUUGUACAUUUCACUCAGAAAAAUGUGCGCUCUGAGAUCCAGUUGUUCACAUUCUGUAUGGCUUUGAAUUCAAAUAGGUUUUCAGGACAGAGAACUGAUCUGUACUUCAGUUUUUUAGUCGAAAUGUGUGUUGGUAAUUUAUUUUAAGAUUUUCUUAUAUUUAUUCCUAGCCAUAUA
RNA transcript from Zea mays, 2771 nucleotides. It is a transcript of the gene named protein S-acyltransferase 10, with no coding region annotated. The record is from RefSeq and is a predicted model, not a curated record. Lineage: Eukaryota; Viridiplantae; Streptophyta; Magnoliopsida; Poales; Poaceae. The transcript is spliced from 9 exons.